GGGGGCGAUUCUGGAUUCGACGGGAUUCGCGAAACUCCGGGAGCAUGCCGAGGGGCGGUUGGCCUCGUAAAAAGCCGCAAAGUUAUAGUUGCAAACGACGAUAACUACGCUCUGGCUGCUUAAUUAGCGCCAGCCAUCUACCACAGGUCUCGCACAUGGGCAGUGGAUUUGAUGGUCACCUUACAUCGUGCUAGCGAGGGAACCUUGUCUGGGGGUGAACCGCGAAACAGUUCCAGGCUCACCGUUAGAAAUCCUGUCUUUCGGAGUUCGAGCGGUUAAAUAAAAGAGAGACUAAGCAUGUAGCGCCUUGAGCGUAGGUUUUUCGGACGCGGGUUCAAGUCCCGCCGCCUCCACCA
This is a non-coding RNA of Shewanella amazonensis SB2B, 356 nucleotides long. It matches the Rfam family "transfer-messenger RNA". From Rfam's summary of the family: Bacterial tmRNA, also known as 10Sa RNA or SsrA, is named for its dual tRNA and mRNA-like properties. Its role is to liberate the mRNA from a stalled ribosome. Lineage: Bacteria; Pseudomonadati; Pseudomonadota; Gammaproteobacteria; Alteromonadales; Shewanellaceae. The record is from Rfam.